This 433-nucleotide ribosomal RNA is filed under the name uncultured bacterium. RNAcentral's name for it is "partial 16S ribosomal RNA". It matches the Rfam family "Bacterial small subunit ribosomal RNA", at positions 29 to 507 of the family's 1533-position model. The record is from RNAcentral.
AACGAACGCUGGCGGCAUGCCUAACACAUGCAAGUCGAACGAGACCUUCGGGCCUAGUUGCGCACGGGUGCGUAACGCGUGGGAACCUGCCCUUAGGUUCGGAAUAACUCCCCGUAAGGGGUCCUAAUACCGGAUAAUGUCUUCGGACCAAAGAUUUAUCGCCUUUUGAUGGGCCCGCGUUGGAUUAGCUAGUUGGUAGGGUAAAAGCCUACCAAGGCGACGAUCCAUAGCUGGUCUGAGAGGAGGAUCAGCCACACUGGGACUGAGACACGGCCCAGACUCCGACGGGAGGGAGCAGUGGGGAAUAUUGGGCGAUGGGCGAAAGCCUGAUCAAGCAAUGCGGGGUGAGUGAUGAAGGCCUUAGGGUUGUAAAGCUCUUUUACCCGGGAUGAUAAUGACAGUACCGGGAGAAGAAGCUCCGGCUAACUCCGUG